This 402-nucleotide ribosomal RNA is filed under the name uncultured bacterium. RNAcentral describes it as "bacterial SSU rRNA". It matches the Rfam family "Bacterial small subunit ribosomal RNA", at positions 355 to 774 of the family's 1533-position model. The record is from RNAcentral.
UGGGGAAUCUUGCACAAUGGGGGCAACCCCGAUGCAGCGACGCCGCGUGAGCGAUGAAGCCCUUCGGGGCGUAAAGCUCUUUCGACCGGAACGAUAAUGGCGGUACCGGGAGAAGAAGCUGCGGCUAACUACGUGCCAGCAGCCGCGGUAAUACGUAGGCAGCAAGCGUUGUUCGGAGUUACUGGGCGUAAAGAGUGCGUAGGCGGUUUUCUAAGUUCGGUGUGAAAUCUCCCGGCUUAACUGGGAGGGUGCGCCGAAGACUGGGAAGCUGGAGUGUGGGAAAGGCAGGCGGAAUUCCUGGUGUAGCGGUGAAAUGCGUAGAUAUCAGGAGGAACACCGGCGGUGUAGACGGCUUGCUAGACCAUAACUGACGCUGAGGCACGAAAGCGUGGGUAGCAAACA